AUUCAUCCAAGAAGUAAAAAUCCAAUUUUAAAACAACAGACAGAAAUGCUUCAAAAGCUGCUUUGGUUUUUCCUGUGGAUGGCAUGAUCCGGUUCCUCUGGAGAGGUGGUCAGACUGUGAAACCUGACUUCCACUAGCCAGCUUUAUCUGCACUGCCUAUGUUUAAGCACUAUCACCUGCAGAGAGAGGCUGGAAACCCUAAAUAAUGCACCAAGAUAUCUGUGGGGAGCCACACACUGUACGAAGGGCAAGAAAGUCUCAUUUCUCAAAAACCAGUUUCCCCUAAAUACUCACACAUCAGCUUCUAUAAUCAAAGAUGAAUGCCUAAAGAUUUGUACAGAGAUAGAAUGUAGCUCUCAUUUUGGAUGCCUCAAGUAUGCAAAGGAAAAAGUUUCAAGAGUGGAAUCUGAUGAGUCUGUGUCUUUAAUCCUUGUGAGACCAUGUCAGAAGGCCUGUGCCCAAUUUCUAUUUGUAUUGUAUCUCUCCAGGGAAGAGUCUACAACAAGUUUCCUUCCUGAGGGCUGAACUGAGAAUCUGGUGAAUGCAGAAAAUGGAGACUGUGUCUUUUUUUAUCUAUGAUGUUGAUGGCCCACCUCCAAAUUCUGUUGCAUUGGGAGUUAGGAUUCAAAGAGGAAUUUUGGAGCUACUCAAACAGUCAUCCCACAGCAAUGCUUAAUAAGUGCUCUCAUCAGCUGUCCUAAACCUCUUUUAAGGCAUUAAUAAACAUCCAUUCCAGAAAACAGCCCAAAUCUUGCAGAGAAAAGAAGAAAAAAAUCAUAUGUAAAAUUUUAGAGUGUGUGCAGAAACAUGUAAAGUAAACCUCACUUGGAGAAUUUCCAUGUGCAAGAGAUAGUUACCAAUCAAACAAUUAAUAGGAAUCUCAAGAGUUUGCAAAUAAAAGAAUAGUUGAUUCAAUUAUUAGAAUCAAAGGACUCCUGAUGAUAAAUGCAAAUAAUUGAUUUUAUCUACCUGGAUCAGAAAAAAAUGAAGUACACUCAGGGCAGGGCACCAGAAGGACUGAAGAGUCACUUCACGUUCCAAGACAGAAGCUUAGACCCAGGCAGGUGGUCACUUUGUGGGGGGAGGAACAAAGAAGACUUCGGACUGGUGGUUUCUGAAGACACAGAGAAAUGGCUGGAGAGUGGAAGUCUCAGGGGAGAUUCUGCCAACCCCACUGUACUUUCAGACUCUAAAACAGUUCUCCCUUUAUGCUGGAGCUAAUGAAUGUGGUCUAGGAAGCAUGGCCUCUAUCUGUUUAUUGUGAGUGUGGCAUAUAUGAAACCAAAGGCUAAAUGAAAAUAACAUUGUACACAUACAGUAUGCCAGACAUCUUAUGAGGAGGUUAGUAUUUUCACAAUAAAUUAUUUUAUAUGACUGGUAUUGUCA
This is a long non-coding RNA of Oryctolagus cuniculus (rabbit), 1386 nucleotides long. Lineage: Eukaryota; Metazoa; Chordata; Mammalia; Lagomorpha; Leporidae. The record is from Ensembl.